ACAAGAGAAACACCAGGAACAUCAGAGGAGUAAACAAAUAAGGGAUUGAAAGGGUCAACAGGAGUCGUAUUAGUACGCAUGUUAGCAAUCGUGAAUAACAACGAGUUCAAAGUCAAAAUAUAGUCUCUGCAAGUAUGUUAAAAGACUAUAGUUGUAUCAAAAACUUCAUGAAAAUCAUAUAACACCUAAAAUAGGAACAGAUUUACCCUCCUUCUUCGCGACCGGAGAAGAUCGACCUUCGAUUAACAGAUAAAACCCUAGGUCCAACACCGGAAAUCGUAGGUUCUGAAACUCACCAGAAUAAGGUCAUGGACGUCGGAAAGUUACCCAAAACGUCUAUCAAGCGAAGAUAAAGCCAGUUUCGAAUAGCAGAAAUCCAGCAGAAACCCUAUAAUCCGAAGCCUCACCGGAAUCGACUCGAGAACGUUGGAAAAAUAACCCAAAACGUUCGAGGGAAGAAGAUAUAUCCAGAUAUCACGCUGAAAGUCUCAGAUCAACAUCCGAUUUGGAUCGGAAUCAUCAUCGACCAAACACGUCAGAAACACCCCCAAAAAUUUCCAACGAGACUUCAACCGAGAUAACAAGAUGCAGGAAAGCAUCGUCGGAUCAUUGUCUAGGCUCUGAUACCAUGAAAACAUCAAGAAAUCCAGACGAAAUCGAAGAACAAGAUGAGAGAGAGUCGGUUAGGUAGAAGCUUCCAGAGAGCUUUUCUGAGAGAGAUAAUGUGAAUUGAAAAUGAAAA
RNAcentral lists this long non-coding RNA (742 nucleotides) under Nicotiana benthamiana. RNAcentral describes it as "long non-coding RNA (NBEN_LNC014643)". Lineage: Eukaryota; Viridiplantae; Streptophyta; Magnoliopsida; Solanales; Solanaceae. The record is from RNAcentral.